This 412-nucleotide long non-coding RNA is filed under the name Pelobates cultripes (western spadefoot toad). The record is from RNAcentral. Lineage: Eukaryota; Metazoa; Chordata; Amphibia; Anura; Pelobatidae.
CUGGAAUCUGAAGACUGUGACUGAUCUGUGUGCUUGAUAGCUGUGAUUUUAGAAUGAACACUCCUUGAAUAUUGUCUUUGCCAAUCCAUUACAAAGCUUGAGGUUUGUAGGUUUAAUGACACAUGCAAGUUCAUGAGUGUAGGGUAAACUCAUUCUGUGACCACCUUGAAAUGACACAAAUUCCUGCUUCUUGCUGUUACUUUACCCUUAUUCUGGGCUGUGUUAAUAGUUUGACUUGGUAAUCUCAGCACUUCUUCAUCUGUAUAGUAUCCAUUUUCAGGAUAAUAGUUUGUUUUGGUAAUCCCAGCACUUCUUCAUCUGUAUAGUAAUCAUUUUCAGGAUAAUAGUUUGUCUUGGUAAUCCCAGCACUUCUUCAUCUGUAUAGUAAACUGUGACAGGACAUGUCAGUUAC